CAGUGCAGUCACCCAUAAAGUAGAAAGCACUACUAACAGCACUGGAGGGUGUAGUGUUUCCUACUUUAUGGAUGAGUGUACUGU
Molecule: non-coding RNA, 84 nt
Organism: Papio anubis (olive baboon)
Lineage: Eukaryota; Metazoa; Chordata; Mammalia; Primates; Cercopithecidae
Source: Rfam